UAAAAUUUGGAUUCAGUUAAAAGGUCGCACUUAAGGACCUAGAAGGCCUGAUGUGGCCUUAAGGCCUCAGGUUCCCAGUGGCGAGUGGAGUGUGUCAACGUCCUUCCCGUCAAUGUCCUCCCUUUCAACAGUCUCCUAAUAAGUCCCCCACACCCUCCCUGCCUCGUGGGAAAACACUAUUUUACAAAGCGAGCGCCUCAGAGUUUAAAUAGUUGAGUUCUACCCUGAAGCUGCUGCCAGGAAAUUAAUUAGAAAAGCUCCGAUCACCAAGAGCGAGGAGCAAAGCGGCGGAGACAGAAACUCACCUGGACGCGGAAUUUGUUCCUGCCCCUUUCCAGGUUCGAGGGAUCGGCCCGAGAUCACUCCCGGGAGGCCGGGGGAAUUACAGAGAGAUGCCCGCGGGCAGAACAGGAAGUCCGGGCGCCGACACACACGGUAAGGGGCCAGGCUUCGGAGGAAAGAAAAGUGAAAGCGUUCCUGCCCCGCGCGUGGCGGGCCCGGCCCAGCCGACCCAGCAGGAAGCUGAAGGCAGCGCGGGGCUCGCGGGCUCCCGCCGCUCCGCACCGUUCUCCCUACCAGGCCACCCACGAACUCCUCAGAAAAAAACAGAUGGGAAAGCUGGUUCGAAGGCUUAAGAAGCCUUGAAACCAACGUUGACGUGCCUUCUAUGCUUCCCAUGGAGCUGCCAGCAGCACAUCCCACCCAAGUAUGUGCAGAGCGACAGGUCUGGCGCCGUGGGCCGUGGCGACGGGGUAUCCGGCGAGGAGACGAUGUGAUGCUCGCGGCUGAGGGUGGGCAUCGGUGCCUUAGCACCGUAACACGCGGACUGCAAGAUGCAGGGGGUAGCGGUGCUGAGGGAUUCUAAGACUCUUAUGCAAAUGUCACAGUUCACUUACCUGAAGCCCCUCCACAUCACCUGGCAAACCCCUUCAUGGGCAUCCCAGGAGCCCGGCAGCAAGAACUUCUUCCUUCAGAGCUGUUUAAAGAUACAUCAGUAAAAUGCAAUCAAUCAAUAAAUAAAAAUAAAACAGGAAGGGGAAAAUAAUAAUGUCAGAUCAGGCAAAAAUCAUUACAUGAAGAAAGACGUGAAUAAGGAUGAAAGAUGUUUAUUCUAAGAAAUACAUACUCAAGAAUACAGUAAUAAUGGGAAAACCUCACCUGUUAAUACACUGCAUUAAUGAUACAUGAAAUGAGAGUAUUAAAAUUAUGUCUAAUUCUUUUUUAGCUCAAUUUUAUUGAGGUAUAAAAUUAAUUUAUCUUAA
Molecule: long non-coding RNA, 1262 nt
Organism: Lemur catta (Ring-tailed lemur)
Lineage: Eukaryota; Metazoa; Chordata; Mammalia; Primates; Lemuridae
Exons: 2
Source: RefSeq, a predicted model, not a curated record